GCUCCGGCUUCCCUCCAGGCGGCAGCGGAAGGUGGGAGCGACGACUGCAAAACGGCAGCGAUGGGCUCCCGCAACCUCCGGAGCUUGUGCGCGUACUUCAGGGACCGGCACCACGUCACCGUCACCUCCUGAGUAGUGAGUUCCCCUCUGAUGAAACCACUGGUAACUGCCUCUCCACGGAGGAAAAAGGUCUUCACCCGGAACUCUUGGCGAUGAACUGACCAAGUAAGGGAUGAGGAGGAGGAGCUUCUCAAGAGUUCCUAGAGAAAGACGAUGCCUGGGGAAGAUAAUGGCCAGUAGAGUUGGUGCCAGGGACUCUAGAAGGAAGAGGCUGGAGACAUCCAAGAGAAAUAUGAUCAGGAACUGGACUGAGACAGUGCUUGGAAGAUGAGUGGGGAGACAGAAAGGAAAAGGCAAGCUCUGGAAGCUGACAAAGUAUGGAAGGAAGGGCAAUGGCCUGUGGAAAAUAACUGAGACUUGCUGCCUGUGAGGCCAAUGACAUGCUGUCUUUGCCCACUGCUCCUGUCAGGUAAAUCCAUUCUCUCAGGG
Molecule: long non-coding RNA, 549 nt
Filed under: Homo sapiens (human)
Lineage: Eukaryota; Metazoa; Chordata; Mammalia; Primates; Hominidae
Description: non-protein coding LINC01481:11
Source: RNAcentral